Molecule: ribosomal RNA, 301 nt
Filed under: uncultured bacterium
Lineage: Bacteria
Description: partial 16S ribosomal RNA
Rfam family: Bacterial small subunit ribosomal RNA
Source: RNAcentral
CAGUAGCCACGGGAAUACGUAGGGUGCAAGCGUUAAUCGGAAUUACUGGGCGUAAAGCGUGCGCAGGCGGUUUGUUAAGACAGAUGUGAAAUCCCCAGGCUCAACCUGGGAACUGCAUUUGUGACUGGCAAGCUAGAGUAUGGCAGAGGGGGGUGGAAUUCCGCGUGUAGCAGUGAAAUGCGUAGAUAUGCGGAGGAACACCGAUGGCGAAGGCAGCCCCCUGGGCCAAUACUGACGCUCAUGCACGAAAGCGUGGGGAGCAAACAGGAUUAGAACCCCAGUAGUCCCUGUCUCUUAUACA